This 1666-nucleotide long non-coding RNA is filed under the name Oryza sativa Indica Group (long-grained rice). Its description in RNAcentral is "lncRNA OsMH63_05G018370". Lineage: Eukaryota; Viridiplantae; Streptophyta; Magnoliopsida; Poales; Poaceae. The record is from RNAcentral.
CCGCUGGAGGCGAGGUCUUCCCCAUCCGUCCCCAGUCUCGGCCGGAGCCGAUGUCGUCCCCAUCCGCUGCCGCCGAAGACGAGGUCUUCCCCAUCCGCAGCCGCCGCCACAGUCCACCGCUACCCACGAGGUCGUCCCCUUCCGCCGCCGUCGCGCACUGAACCGGAGGUGAGGUCUUCCCCAUUUGCUGCCGCCUCCGCCGCACUCAUCGCCUGUCUUCAUCGUGCGCAUCCCUGCCGUGCGCCAUGUUUAGUUGUCUUCACCCUCGACGCCCCGGAGCCGGACGCCCACUGCCCACCUCCACGCCACCGGACAACCUCCAUCCCUGCCGUCCUCCUCUCCAUCGUGUGCAACUUCUUCGUUAUCUACACGCCCGAGGAGAGAUGACUCCUACCGCGGAGGUUGAUGCACACCCGCCUUCUUUCUGUUGUGCCAGUAUUCUCAUCGAUGAAUGAUUUUACCACACAACAGCAAAGCUGUUGCCAUCUGCCGGCAUUAUCUCAGGUUUGCUUUUCCGCAUCCUUCUCUCCUUAUCAAUUUCUUUAUGUGCCCCUUGUCAGAUUGCAUUUACUUUCUCCUUCUCCUUUCUGCUAUCAAAUAGGAUCAAUGAAUUGUUCCGUGAAUGCUGAUCAUAUUAUGAGAAUUUUCCCCUAGCUAAAAAUAAAUUAAUGGAAUCUGUAGCAAUAUGCUAUAUGUUAAUCUUGAAUUUGUGAUAAUGUCAACAUUCAACCUUUCGACUAUGACCCUAUGUCACACUGAUUCAUUGUCUUAUCCGUUGAUUUCCAAAUUUGCUUGAUCGAUACAUGUUAGAAUGCAAUUCCAAUAGAUAUGAAAAUAACAAAAUUGAUAAAAUGUUUGAUUAUGCUAUGAAAAUUAUAUAAAAUGAAAAGCUCAAUUUUUAUGUAAAUCAUUGAUUCUGGGUACUUAAUCAACUACAAAAGGCAUUGCCCCAAAUCCCAAAUUUCAUAAUUUUAUCAGUUGGUCAUUUUUGCUUUUGAUCCUUUCACACGAUGACAGUACCUCUGAGGUAUUGUUUCACCUUCACCCUGAAUUUACAUGACAAAUCCUAAAUGAAAUUAUAAAUGCAGCUCUCAAUUUGGUUUACCUUUCACCCUGAAUUUGCAAGAUUCAAGUGCAGGAGCUGAAAAUUUCUCUUUCAGGGACCAAGAAGAAUACAAACUUAACAGUUAGGUAUAAUCAUAAGAUUAUAUAGUGUGUUUCAUUUUGUUAUCAUUAAACUGAUCCACAUGGUGUUCAAGUGAUUACACAAGUGUAUAGAUUGUUUUAAAAGUUGGGUUCGAUAGAUAUGUAGAAUUCCAUGCCGCCAUCGCUGAAGCCGCGCAGGCAAGCCUCAAUGUCUGCACCUAGGCCUUCAGCGGGUGCAGCUACUGUGUGCUGCGGAUGGUACCCUUCCAUUACAGUGAGGAGGUCUUCCAGAUCAGCUAUCACGGUGGUUCCUUGGUGUGCCCAUGGGCAGCACACCAACUGUUUGAUGAAAUGCAUGAUCGAGGUUUACAGGUACCUGUGGAUUGAGAGGGUCACUGGGUCAUCUUUUGAAGUUGGUUUGGAUGACCUGAAGCUAUCAGGUAGAUUGUGGUGUUCUUUUCCUCAAUUAUGUAGAGGGGAGUUCUUUUUCUGGUAUUGGAGUUCUUAUGAAAGCCACUGA